RNAcentral lists this ribosomal RNA (253 nucleotides) under uncultured bacterium. RNAcentral describes it as "partial 16S ribosomal RNA". It matches the Rfam family "Bacterial small subunit ribosomal RNA", at positions 524 to 776 of the family's 1533-position model. The record is from RNAcentral.
UACGAAGGGUGCAACCGUUGCUCGGAAUUAUUGGGCGUAAAGCGCACGUGGGCGGCUUUGCAAGUCCCAUGUGAAAUCCCACGGCUCAACCGUGGAAGUGCAUGGGAAACUGCAGAGCUUGAGUACUUAAGAGGAUCGCGGAAUUCCCGGUGUAGAGGUGAAAUUCGUAGAUAUCGGGAGGAACACCAGUGGCGAAGGCGGCGAUCUGGGAAGAUACUGACGCUGAGGUGCGAAAGCGUGGGGAGCAAACAGG